UCAACUUUUGAAUCCCUCCUU
Molecule: non-coding RNA, 21 nt
Filed under: Caenorhabditis elegans
Lineage: Eukaryota; Metazoa; Nematoda; Chromadorea; Rhabditida; Rhabditidae
Source: RNAcentral